GGUCAAGCUACUUAGGGCGCGCGGUGGAUGCCUUGGUACCAGAGGCCGAUGAAGGACGUGGUAAGGCUGCGAUAAGCUCCGCCCAGCUGCCUAACAAGCUCAAGCGGAGAUCUCCGAAUGGGGCAACCCGGCUCGGCAAAACCGAGUCACUCCGGACUGAACACAUAGGUCCGGUAGAGGGCACCGGGGGAACUGAAACAUCUAAGUACCCCGAGGAAAAGAGAGUAUUCCCCUAGUAGCGGCGAGCGAACGGGGAGAAGCCCAAACCGUCAGGGUUCGCCCUGGCGGGGUUGUAGGGCCCGCCUGCCGUAAGGCAUGGAGUUACAAAUCACACACCUAGAAGAACGGCCCUGGAACGGCCGGCCAAAGAGGGUGAGAGCCCCGUAAGCGAAAGGUGCUGUGACUCCAGGUGGGUACCUGAGUACCACGGGACACGUGAAACCCCGUGGGAAUCUGGGGAGACCACUUCCCAAGGCUAAAUACCUCUGGUGACCGAUAGUGAACCAGUACCGUGAGGGAAAGGUGAAAAGUACCCCGGGAGGGGAGUGAAAGAGACCCUGAAACCGCGUGCCUACGUGCAGUUGGAGCCCGUCUCGGCGGGUGACAGCGUGCCUAUUGAAGAAUGAGCCGGUGAGUUACUCUACGUGGCAAGGUUAAGCAAGGUGACUUGUGGAGCCGUAGCGAAAGCGAGUCCGAAUAGGGCGGCCAUAGUCGCGUGGAGUAGACGCGAAACCUGGUGAUCUACCCAUGGGCAGCGUGAAGUCCAGGUAAAACUGGAUGGAGGCGCGAACCUUCUAACGUUGCAAAGUUAUUGGAUGACCUGUGGGUAGCGGUGAAAUGCCAAGCGAACCAGGAGAUAGCUCGUUCUCCCCGAAAUGCAUUUAGGUGCAGCGUCAGGCGAUAUCCAUCGGAGGUAGGGCUCUGAAUGGGCUAGGGGGCUCACCGCUUACCAAACCCAAUCAAACCGCGAAUGCCGAUGGACAAAACCUGGCAGUGAGACAGUGGGGGCUAAGCUUCAUUGUCGAAAGGGAAACAGCCCAGACCACCAACUAAGGUCCCGAAGUCCAUGCUCAGUGUGAAAGGAUGUUGAAUCGCGAAGACAGCCAGGAGGUUGGCUUAGAAGCAGCCACCCUUUAAAGAGUGCGUAAUAGCUCACUGGUCGAGUGGUUCUGCGCCGACAAUGUAACGGGGCUAAGCAUGGCACCGAAGUUGUGGGUCUGUCACAAUUGCGUGACAGGCGGUAGGGGAGCGUUUGCUUCAGCCGUGAAGGGGAAGCCGUGAGGCACCCUGGAGCGAAGCGAAGUGAGAAUGCCGGCAUGAGUAGCGUAAGGUGCGUGAGAACCGCACCCGCCGUAUACCUGAGGUUUCCUACGGAAGGUCAAUCCGCGUAGGGUUAGUCGGGCCUAAGCCGAGGCCGAAAGGCGUAGGCGAUGGACAGCUGGUUAGUAUUCCAGCACCGCAGUGGUAGCGUUUGAUGCAGAGGGGGGACCCAGGAGGGUAGACCCCGCGGGCCCAUUGGACAUGGCCCGUCCCUGGUUCGUAGGCAUCCGGCCGGAGGGAAAUCCCCGGUCGGGCCAAGCUGAGGAAUCGGGGGAAGUGGAGACAUCGUCAAAGCGAUGGGGUUAAGCCCACGCUGGCUAGAAAAGCCUCGCUGCUAGUUACCACCGCGCCCGUACCGCAAACCGACACUGGUAGGUGACGGUAAGUACCGUAAGGCGAUCGGGAGAACCUUCGUUAAGGAACUCGGCAAAUUGGAUCCGUAACUUCGGGAGAAGGAUCGCCCCUGGGCGUGAACAGGUUCGCCCUGCUAGCGUUCGGGGGCCGCAGUGAGCAGGCCCAGGCGACUGUUUAUCAAAAUCACAGGUCUCUGCUAAAGCGAAAGCUGAUGUAUAGGGGCUGACGCCUGCCCAGUGCCGGAAGGUUAAGAGGAGAGGUUCACGCCUUGAAUUGAAGCCCCGGUGAACGGCGGCCGUAACUAUAACGGUCCUAAGGUAGCGAAAUUCCUUGUCGGGUAAGUUCCGACCCGCACGAAAGGCGUAACGAUCUGGGCACUGUCUCAACGAGAGACUCGGUGAAAUUAUAGUACCUGUGAAGAUGCAGGUUACCCGCGACAGGACGGAAAGACCCCGUGGAGCUUUACUGUAGCCUGAUAUUGAAUUUUGGUACAGCUUGUACAGGAUAGGUAGGAGCCUUGGAAGCCGGAGCGCUAGCUUCGGUGGAGGCGUCGGUGGGAUACUACCCUGGCUGUAUUGAAAUUCUAACCCGCGGCCCUGAUCGGGCCGGGAGACAGUGUCAGGUGGGCAGUUUGACUGGGGCGGUCGCCUCCUAAAAUGUAACGGAGGCGCCCAAAGGUUCCCUCAGAAUGGUUGGAAAUCAUUCGUAGAGUGUAAAGGCACAAGGGAGCUUGACUGCGAGACCUACAAGUCGAGCAGGGACGAAAGUCGGGCUUAGUGAUCCGGUGGUUCCGCAUGGAAGGGCCAUCGCUCAACGGAUAAAAGCUACCCCGGGGAUAACAGGCUUAUCUCCCCCAAGAGUCCACAUCGACGGGGAGGUU
RNAcentral lists this ribosomal RNA (2554 nucleotides) under bacterium. Its description in RNAcentral is "partial 23S ribosomal RNA". It matches the Rfam family "Bacterial large subunit ribosomal RNA", at positions 1 to 2518 of the family's 2925-position model. The record is from RNAcentral.